Molecule: ribosomal RNA, 166 nt
Filed under: uncultured bacterium
Lineage: Bacteria
Description: partial 16S rRNA
Rfam family: Bacterial small subunit ribosomal RNA
Source: RNAcentral
UAGGGAAUCUUCGGCAAUGGACGAAAGUCUGACCGAGCAACGCCGCGUGAGUGAAGAAGGUUUUCGGACUCGUAAAACUCUGUUGGUAGAGAAGAACGUUGGUGAGAGUGGAAAGCUCAUCAAGUGACGGUAACUACCCAGAAAGGGACGGCUAACUACGUGCCAG